CUACCUGGUUGAUCCUG
This 17-nucleotide ribosomal RNA is filed under the name Lotus polyphyllus. Its description in RNAcentral is "partial 18S ribosomal RNA". The record is from RNAcentral. Lineage: Eukaryota; Viridiplantae; Streptophyta; Magnoliopsida; Fabales; Fabaceae.